RNAcentral lists this long non-coding RNA (1141 nucleotides) under Brachypodium distachyon (stiff brome). Its description in RNAcentral is "long non-coding RNA (BDIS_LNC003434)". Lineage: Eukaryota; Viridiplantae; Streptophyta; Magnoliopsida; Poales; Poaceae. The record is from RNAcentral.
CCUCGCUCAUGUCCGCCGCCUCCCAAGCCCCUCCUGUGUCCGCCGCCGCGGCCUAGGACGUGGAAGCCGCCGCGCGCCGUGGAGGUGAUGGAGAGAUUUGUUUUUGAUUCAUUUUUUCUCCUGGUUUGAGGUUUGAGGAUUGACCAAGUACUACUUGAUUUUUGAAGAUCGACAUGGAUGUUGAAUUUGUACUUGAUUUGAGGUUUGAGGAUCGAAUUUGUACUUGUUGGUACCGUGAUUUUGUCCUGAUACAUGAUGUACCUCGCUUGAAUUCCUUUUUUCUAUGUUAGAUUCAUGAGGUACUGUGUUUUUUUUUCGGGAAUGAGGUACUGUGUUUUGAUGACUGUUCGUACUGUGAUUUUGUCUUGGUACAUGAUGUACUCCUCUUUGAUUUUUUUUCCAUGUUAGAUGAUUGGUACCGUGUUUCGAUGAUUGUUUGUACUGUGAUUAGUACACGAUGUACUGUUAUGAAUUGAUGUACAAAGUCUUCAUAUGACGAAGUACUUAGAUUGUUUCUUCUUCUUUUUUCUAUCUCCAUUGAAAAUUGAGGAGGUAUUUAUCAUGUAAUGUGAUGUAAUUUAUCGUUGAUGAGGUACUUAUUAAUUGUAUGAGUUGAGAACUAUCAUGUACCUUGAUGUAUCUGUGAUGUAUCUUCAUGUACUUGUCAUAUACCUUGAUGUAUCUGUCAUGUGCAUGAGGUACUUCAAAAACUGUUAAAAUGCAUAUGAUGUACCAUACGAUGUAUUUGUAUCAUAAGUUCAUGUACAGGGGAUAUUUAAAAACUGAUAUGGUACAAUUCAUAUAACCUAAUGUACUAAAUAUGUAUUUAAAAAUAUUUCAUGUACCACAAUGUACUUAAAAGUGGGGAGAGAGAAAAAAAGAAAGAAAGAGAAAGUUGUCGGGUGGUAGUACUGUUAAUCCUCAGAAAUUAACUAAGAGAGAGAAAAGGAAGAAGGCCAAACAUGUGUCCACGAAAGGGGUCGCAAAUACCUGGGGUACUUAAAAAAAAAUCUGACUAGCUCAUCUCGUCCUAAAAAAAAGAAAAUCUGAGUCAUCUCUCUCAGUCGCCCGCUGAUCUAGGCGCUGACCCACUCACCGACCCACCGAACCCAAGCCCGAUCACGCUGCCCCAGCCCGGCCC